CCACUUGGGUCAAAGAAAGAAGCAUUUGAUCAUGAAGGAGGUUUUUUCCCAGGGUGAGGCUCAGCCAUUGCACUCCGGCUGUGCUGACCCCUGCAAUUUCCCCAAAUGCGGAAAACUCAACUUCAUUUUUCCAGAANGUUUGUGAAGAUGUUGAACUGCAUAUG
RNAcentral lists this small nuclear RNA (164 nucleotides) under Salvator merianae (Argentine black and white tegu). RNAcentral describes it as "U1 spliceosomal RNA (ENSSMRG00000002161.1)". It matches the Rfam family "U1 spliceosomal RNA". From Rfam's summary of the family: U1 is a small nuclear RNA (snRNA) component of the spliceosome (involved in pre-mRNA splicing). Its 5' end forms complementary base pairs with the 5' splice junction, thus defining the 5' donor site of an intron. The record is from RNAcentral. Lineage: Eukaryota; Metazoa; Chordata; Lepidosauria; Squamata; Teiidae.